RNAcentral lists this ribosomal RNA (496 nucleotides) under uncultured bacterium. RNAcentral describes it as "partial 16S ribosomal RNA". It matches the Rfam family "Bacterial small subunit ribosomal RNA", at positions 29 to 507 of the family's 1533-position model. The record is from RNAcentral.
AUGAACGCUGGCGGCGUGCCUCAUCCCUGCAAGUCGCGCGAACAGACGAGGAGCUUGCUCCUCUGACGUUAGCGGCGGACGGGUGAGUAACACGUGGAUAACCUACCUAUAAGACUGGGAUAACUUCGGGAAACCGGAGCUAAUACCGGAUAAUAUAUUGAACCGCAUGGUUCAAUAGUGAAAGACGGUUUUGCUGUCACUUAUAGAUGGAUCCGCGCCGCAUUAGCUAGUUGGUAAGGUAACGGCUUACCAAGGCAACGAUGCGUAGCCGACCUGAGAGGGUGAUCGGCCACACUGGAACUGAGACACGGUCCAGACUCCUACGGGAGGCAGCAGUAGGGAAUCUUCCGCAAUGGGCGAAAGCCUGACGGAGCAACGCCGCGUGAGUGAUGAAGGUCUUCGGAUCGUAAAGCUCUGUUAUUAGGGAAGAAAAAAUGUGUAAGUAACUAUGCACGUCUUGACGGUACCUAAUCAGAAAGCCACGGCUAACUACGUG